RNAcentral lists this long non-coding RNA (435 nucleotides) under Hordeum vulgare. RNAcentral's name for it is "long non-coding RNA (HVUL_LNC008452)". Lineage: Eukaryota; Viridiplantae; Streptophyta; Magnoliopsida; Poales; Poaceae. The record is from RNAcentral.
AAAAAUCAGAUAUGGAAGGGAAAACUAUUCUUCUCUGCCUUAUGGUGCUUGUGCUUCUAGGAAAUCUAAACCAUGCUCGUAAGAAAUCAAUCUCCAUGUCCCUAUAUACAUGUCUCCAUUAUCCCAAGCAUUGUAGAACUGCACAAGUUUCUUAGUUUGGAUAUAUCUUAUUGACUUAUUUUGUUGUCAACAGGGAAUUGCCAUACCCAUUGUGCUUUUUGGGAACCAUUUAUUUGUUUUCCUAUGACUUGCCAGGCAACAUGUGAGCAGAAGUGGCGGAAUCUCCUUGAUCACUCCUAUUGUCAUGCGGAUAACAUUUUCGUAAACUCUUGUAUGUGUGUUGUGUGUGAUAAGUGACUAUAUCGAAUUGCACUUUUCCAUCUUGCCAAACAAUGAAGAAUGAUGUCCAGUAAUAAAAUAUUCCAUUGACGUGCA